GUCCUUUUGAAUUUAAUUUAAGGUUUAACCUGCCCACUGAUUUAUAUUUGAAGGGCCGCAGUAAUUUGACUGUGCAAAGGUAGCAUAAUCAUUAGUUUUUUAAUUAAAAGCUUGUAUGAAGGGUUGGACGAGGUAAAUUCUGUCUCUAUUUAAUUUAUUAUAGAAUUUAAUUUUUAAGUUAAAAAGCUUAAAUUUGAUUAAAAGACGAGAAGACCCUAUAGAUCUUUAUAUUAUUUUUAUUAAUCUUAAUUAAGAUUAUUUAAUUUUUUAAUAAAUUUAGUAUUUUAUUGGGGUAAUAAAAAGAUUAGAUUAAUUCUUUUUUAAAAUUUACAUUAAUAAAUGAGUUUAUGAUCCAAUAUUAUUGAUUAAAAGAUUAAGUUACCUUAGGGAUAACAGCGUAAUAUUUUUAGAGAGUUCAUAUCGAUAAAAAAGUUUGCGACCUCGAUGUUGGAUUAAAAAUUAUUUUAGGUGUAGAAGCUUAAAAUUUUGGUCUGUUCGACCAUUAAAUUUUUACAUGAUCUGAGUUCAGACCGGCGUAAGCCAGGUCGGUUUCUAUCUUUAAUAAAUUUUAAUAUUUUAGUACGAAAGGACCAGAUAUUAGAUAUUUAUAUAUUUAAUAAUUUUGAAUAUUAAUAUUACUUUGGCAGAUUAGUGCAAUGAAUUUAGAAUUCAUAAAUGUAAAUUUUUUACAAGUAAUAUUGUUUUUUUUAGAUUUUUUAUUUUCUAUAAUUUGUAUAAUUCUUUUAGUAAUUUGUGUAUUAGUGGGGGUUGCAUUUUUAACAUUAUUAGAGCGAAAAGUUUUAGGUUAUAUUCAAAUUCGUAAAGGUCCUAAU
Molecule: ribosomal RNA, 833 nt
Filed under: Ilybius chalconatus
Lineage: Eukaryota; Metazoa; Arthropoda; Insecta; Coleoptera; Dytiscidae
Description: partial 16S ribosomal RNA
Rfam family: Bacterial large subunit ribosomal RNA (bases 1-583)
Source: RNAcentral